This 324-nucleotide ribosomal RNA is filed under the name uncultured eukaryote. Its description in RNAcentral is "partial 18S ribosomal RNA". It matches the Rfam family "Eukaryotic small subunit ribosomal RNA", at positions 1470 to 1796 of the family's 1831-position model. The record is from RNAcentral.
CCCUUAGAUGUCCUGGGCUGCACGCGCGCUACACUGAUGUGUCCAGUAAGCACCUAACCUCUUCCGAAAGGAACGGGUAACCUUUGCAAAGCACAUCGUGAUGGGGAUAGAUUAUUGCAAUUAUUAGUCUUGAACGAGGAAUUCCUAGUAAGCACAAGUCAUCAGCUUGUGUUGAUUACGUCCCUGCCCUUUGUACACACCGCCCGUCGCUCCUACCGAUUGAAUGUUCCGGUGAGCUCUUCGGACUGCGCGGUCUGCAGUUUCUGCGUUCCGUGCGGAAAGUUGCGCAAACCUUAACAUUUAGAGGAAGGAGAAGUCUUAACA